RNAcentral lists this ribosomal RNA (253 nucleotides) under uncultured bacterium. Its description in RNAcentral is "partial 16S ribosomal RNA". It matches the Rfam family "Bacterial small subunit ribosomal RNA", at positions 524 to 776 of the family's 1533-position model. The record is from RNAcentral.
UACGUAGGGGCCGAGCGUUGUCCGGAGUUAUUGGGCGUAAAGCGCGCGCAGGCGGCUUGGCGCGCCCGACGUGAAAGCCCCCGGCUUAACCGGGGAGGGUCGUCGGGUACGGCCAGGCUUGAGGGCGGGAGAGGGUGGUGGAAUUCCCGGUGUAGUGGUGAAAUGCGUAGAGAUCGGGAGGAACACCUGUGGCGAAGGCGGCAUCCUGGACCGGUAUUGACGCUGAUGCGCGAAAGCCAGGGGAGCAAACGGG